This 117-nucleotide non-coding RNA is filed under the name Pan paniscus (pygmy chimpanzee). RNAcentral also lists the same sequence under 1 other name. The record is from Rfam by way of RNAcentral. Lineage: Eukaryota; Metazoa; Chordata; Mammalia; Primates; Hominidae.
GCUGGGUGUGGUGGCUAACACCUGUAAUCCCAGCACUUUGGGAGGCUGAGGUGGGCGGAUCACCUGAGGUCAGGAGUUCGAGACCAGCCUGACCAACAUGGUGAAACCCCGUCUCUA